Molecule: long non-coding RNA, 2467 nt
Organism: Pteropus alecto (black flying fox)
Lineage: Eukaryota; Metazoa; Chordata; Mammalia; Chiroptera; Pteropodidae
Exons: 3
Source: RefSeq, a predicted model, not a curated record
CCACUGCCAGUGUCCCGCUGUCCCUGGCCCAGCUCUGGGGCCAGGACAGCGUUGCAGGAAUGUCCACUUAUUGGGCACUGGAUCAGGAAAAGCCAGGCUCUGCCUGGAGGGCUCAUCAGCCGAGCUGAGAGAAAUCGUGGAGGGCCAGGCAAAGAGCUGUGAAAGAGAGUAAAUCCAGGAAGGCUUCCUGGAGAGUGUGGCUCCUGAGAUGAGCUGCAUUGAGGGUAUGACCAGGGAGACGGCAGGGGAAAAGGCAUUUCGGAGAGCAGGAAUAGCCUGCCCAGGGGCAGUGAGCGGGCAGGACCAGAGAGCAUUCAGGGAACGUUUGAUUCCACGUCUGUUCGAGGGCAGCCCAUGCGUGCUGAGCCUCUGAGGGGCAGGCCGGGGCAGGGUGGCAGCAAAGGGCCCUCAGGGCAGGAGGAGACCGUGGGCAGCAAAGGCUGCUGGAACCUCCGCAAUGGGCAGCAGCAGCACGAUCAGAACUGGGCGCUCGUGCGAAACAGGUGCAGAGCGUGUAAAUAAGCAACGCGGUAACAGUGUCCCCGCUGUUUGCGCGCGCAGUGUGCCUGCCGUGUGCGAGACCGUGCCGUUCCGUUUCCUCCUCACGACACCCCGACGAGGUGGCUGUGACCGUCAUCCCUGCGUUCCGAAGAAGCCAAGGAAGGUGCAGAGAGGUAACGUCAGCUGCCAAAGGCCAUCCAGCCAGGGAGUGGCUGGGACUGGGGUUGAAAUCCAGACUUUCGACCACAAUUUAUUAACCUCUUCCUGGGUGGGGAAAGAAGAGACACACUGGAGCUGAGCUCUAAGUCUGAAUCAUUUCCUGCUAAUGUCUGCGUAAGAGAAUCAGGACGCGCCCAGCUGGCCCUGGCCGUGACACUCCUCGGCCGGACCGGGGGCCUCCGGGGAGGCACCAGCAUCAGCCCGUCUCGGUCCUCACGGCCUGGCACAGAUAACUGCGCGCGAACAAAUGGUUGAACAGCUGUUUAUUUCAGCUUCGAGAUGGAACCUGUCAAAUUCUGACAGUCGGACGAGAAGAGCUCCCAAGAUAUUCAAAACACUGACAGCCGACCCCUGACAGCGCUCCCCAGCCCAGGGAGUGGGGGGCCCGGGCACUGAGCCUUUCAUCUGGGCUGGUGGAGCUGGCAGGUGGCACCAGCGGCUUGGGCCUCCCCAUGAGCUGAGUGGUCUGUCCACUAACCCUGGAACCGAUGCGAUAAAUCUCAUGACUACUGAUGGUUCCGCUACUCCAGGUGUGGGCUAAUUGGCCAGAGAGUAAACAGCUCAUGCAAGAUGAUCGAAACGACAUUUGUUGAGAGACGGACAGACAGAAACAGAGAAAGAAGACUGGAGGGCGCGACCGUCAACCUAAGAACCUGGACCGAGGAGGUGCUCCGAGAAGGCUGUUCAGUGGAAUAGUCACUGGUCUGCGACGGGAAGGACCAGGCUUCAGGAGGCCCCUCAGCGAGGUGAGGGCAGGCUCCGCCGCGAAGUGACUAAAAGCACGCACUUCGGAUCGGGACAUCCUGGCUCAGGUUCUAGUUCCACCUCUUGGCUGUGUGACGUCGAGGAAGUCACUUCGCCUCUUCUGAGCUCCAGCUUCCUCCCGUGUUACACGUGAACAAUCAGUCCCGCCCCUUCGCCUAUGAGGAUUACGUGAGCGAAUGUACAUAAAAUGGUCAGAAAGCACCAUUUUUUGUGCCUAGUUUGUUAUCAUAAAGGCCACUGCCCCAUCUCACCUUCUAUCAAUCCUGACGGGGGAAAAAAAAAGGUACAUAUGGCUGAAGGUCCCUGGGUGAGGGAAUGUCCAGCUGUGGGGGAAAAUUACGUGGAACCGUGGGAACGAAGGAUCACACCACGGAGGGUCUGGCUUCAUCAGACUGGAGGACGAGGCCUGGACCAGGAGCCGACUGACCUGGGUAGAUAGAGGUGCCCAGCCUGGCUGUGGGACCUGGACAAGUUCCUUAACAUCUGAGCCUCAGUUUCCUUCCCUGCAACUUGGAACUAAUAACGAACCUGCCCUACCUUCCCCCGGGACCACGGGGAGGAUGGGCCCCGACGUUACACGCAGAAGUGGUGUCACCGAGUCCCGCUGUAGUAUAAUUCGCUCGUGGAAUGUUAACAAUAAAUGAACAAGCUUAUUCACUGCAUGACUCCAAGGCUCUUCCAGGCCCAGCUCUCUCCACAAGCCUAGUUUUCUUCGUGUGCACAGAGCUAAUGCAAACCGUAUGUUCUGAGGAUUGGUUAAAAAUGAAGAGAAGCCAUAGCGAAUUGAUUUAGGUGCCUAAUUCCAUUUGAAAUGACUUUGGCAAUAAAUAAACCGACCCCUUCGAUUCUUUUAAAUCAGCAUAUUUCAGCAACAAAGUGACAGCUUGGAAUCGGUGGCCCUCUCCAUCUCGCUCUGUUGGCUCAGGUGGGUCCACAGUUAAAGACACCGAGGCCUGGCCUGGCACCAGGCCACUGGCCUCUG